AUUGAACGCUGGCGGCAUGCUUUACACAUGCAAGUCGAACGGUAACAGGCCUUCGGUUGCUGACGAGUGGCGAACGGGUGCGUAAUGCAUCGGAACGUACCCAGAGGUGGGGGAUAACGCAGCGAAAGCUGUGCUAAUACCGCAUGUGAUCUGAGGAUGAAAGCGGGGGACCGAGCAGCAAUGUUUGGCCUCUCGCCUUUGGAGCGGCCGAUGUCGGAUUAGCUAGUUGGUGGGGUAAAGGCCUACCAAGGCGACGAUCCGUAGCUGGUCUGAGAGGACGACCAGCCACACUGGGACUGAGACACGGCCCAGACUCCUACGGGAGGCAGCAGUGGGGAAUUUUCGACAAUGGGCGCAAGCCUGAUCCAGCAAUGCCGCGUGAGGGAAGAAGGCCUUCGGGUUGUAAACCGCUUUUGGCAGGAACGAAACGGUGUCCGCUAAUACCGGGCGCUAAUGACGGUACCUGAAGAAUAAGCACCGGCUAACUACGUG
This 492-nucleotide ribosomal RNA is filed under the name uncultured bacterium. Its description in RNAcentral is "partial 16S ribosomal RNA". It matches the Rfam family "Bacterial small subunit ribosomal RNA", at positions 30 to 507 of the family's 1533-position model. The record is from RNAcentral.